AUACUUACCUGGCAGGGGAGAUACUCUGAUCACGAAGGUGGUUUUCCCAGGGCGAGGCUUAUCUAUUGCACUCCGGAUAUGCUGACCCCUGCGAUUUCCCCAAAUGGGGGAAACUCGACUGCAUAAUUUGUGGUAGUGGGGGACUGCGUUCGCGCUUUCCCCUG
Loxodonta africana (African savanna elephant) is the source of this 164-nucleotide small nuclear RNA. Its record names the gene U1. It matches the Rfam family "U1 spliceosomal RNA". From Rfam's summary of the family: U1 is a small nuclear RNA (snRNA) component of the spliceosome (involved in pre-mRNA splicing). Lineage: Eukaryota; Metazoa; Chordata; Mammalia; Proboscidea; Elephantidae. The record is from Ensembl.